UAAAAUUUAAUUUUUCCCGUGUACUAAAUUUGUAUAAUUUGGAGUCUCUAAGGAUUUCCUAAAAAUAGCAAAAGGACACAGUAGCGGUUCAGCCUCAACUUACCAGGUUUUAAUGCAGCUAGGCAGCCACAAGCACCAGGCUUGUUUAGGCACCACAUUUUAGACGGACUUUAAAAGGGUUUUAGAAAAGAAAACCAAGGAGGAUAAGGAUUAGUCAGAGGAAGGCACAAAAAUGCAAAAAGAUAACAGCCAAUUCCUGGAUGGGUCUACUCUUAAUCUCCACAUGUUUUCAUUUAGAAGAAUGCCAGUAUCAGAAAGUAGGACAGUUUUGUUGUAAAUGAUUGGUGGAAACAUAACCUACUCAUCCGCCUGGAUAGUAGGAAGUGUCAAAGGAAAAGCUUAUGCUCAUUCUACAAGGGAAUCACAAGGAAAUCAGGAGAUGUGCGCAAAGGCUUUUUAUGGAGUAAAAUAAUUGUAGCAACUACAGCAUGACCUGAUUAAAUUCCAUAAAAUUUUAGAGAGUUGCCAACCUCCAAUACUAGAUUUUAUGUGACUUGUAUUCCCUAUCAAGACAUUUAAAGAACUGCAACAAUUAAAACAUUGUCAUUAAAACAAUUUAUGAAACCACACAUUGCAAAAGUGAAUCAUGGAGCAUUCACUAAAAGUGAAUCAUGGAGCAUUCACUAAAAGUAAAUUAUGGAGCAGAAGUUUAUAACAGAAAUAUUCCGUGGUCAAACCUUUUCAAGCGGAUAUGCUGUUUUGCCACAAGU
This 770-nucleotide long non-coding RNA is filed under the name Phoenix dactylifera (date palm). RNAcentral describes it as "long non-coding RNA (PDAC_LNC018438)". The record is from RNAcentral. Lineage: Eukaryota; Viridiplantae; Streptophyta; Magnoliopsida; Arecales; Arecaceae.